UUUGACUCUUCAUCUUAUUUGAAAUUUUUUUGCGAUUAAUAUUUUUAUUAUUAUCAGAUGAUAAAAUAUAAAUAGUACUUUAUGCGUGACUAAUUGUUUUAAAGUUUUUUUACAAAUUUUUAAAUAAGAUGAAUGAUCAAA
Molecule: microRNA precursor, 141 nt
Filed under: Oryza brachyantha (malo sina)
Lineage: Eukaryota; Viridiplantae; Streptophyta; Magnoliopsida; Poales; Poaceae
Description: MIR812 microRNA precursor family
Rfam family: MIR812 microRNA precursor family
Source: Rfam by way of RNAcentral